AAGGAAGCAUUUGAUGUGUUUGAUGAGAACAAAGAUGGAUUCAUUGAUGCAAAAGAUUUACAGAGAGUUCUAUGCCGUCUGGGUUUUAAGGAAGGAAAACAAGUUGAGGAGUGUAAGAGAAUGAUUCAUGCAGUUCAUGGGGAUGAUGGGUUUGGAAGGAUUCAAUUCACUGAUUUUUUGAUAUUUAUGAACAAGUGUUUUUGAUGAAAUGCUCUCUUAAUCAUGGUAAAUGAUUUGUUUCCCAUCUCCUUGUAGAUUUUUUUCCCUUUUUCUAGCAUGCCUUCAGCUGGAAGUUUCGAGUUUUUAGUUCGAAUCUCUUUAUAUCUAAUUGAAAUUAAUUAUAUUUAUAUCAAAGUUAUUGAAAGA
RNAcentral lists this unclassified non-coding RNA (366 nucleotides) under Hevea brasiliensis (rubber tree). The record is from RNAcentral. Lineage: Eukaryota; Viridiplantae; Streptophyta; Magnoliopsida; Malpighiales; Euphorbiaceae.